CCUCCAGUAGCUCAGCGGUAGAGCAUGGAGGAAAGAUGUUAUAUACAUGGUGAAUAUCUCCCCGUCGCUGGUUCGACUCCGGCCUGGAGGU
Stereum hirsutum FP-91666 SS1 is the source of this 91-nucleotide non-coding RNA. Lineage: Eukaryota; Fungi; Basidiomycota; Agaricomycetes; Russulales; Stereaceae. The record is from the annotation of a RefSeq genome assembly.